CCUACGGGAGGCAGCAGUAGGGAAUCUUCGGCAAUGGGGGGAACCCUGACCGAGCAACGCCGCGUGAGUGAAGAAGGUUUUCGGAUCGUAAAGCUCUGUUGUUAAGGAAGAACGAGUGUGAGAAUGGAAAGUUCAUGCUGUGACGGUACUUAACCAGAAAGGGACGGGUAACUACGUGCCAGCAGCCGCGGUAAU
RNAcentral lists this ribosomal RNA (195 nucleotides) under uncultured bacterium. RNAcentral describes it as "partial 16S ribosomal RNA". It matches the Rfam family "Bacterial small subunit ribosomal RNA", at positions 338 to 524 of the family's 1533-position model. The record is from RNAcentral.